AUCUUCGGGGCAGGGUGAAAGUCCCUACCGGCAGUUACAGUCUGCGAGCCUCCGCGCGAAAGCGCGUGCGCAUGAUGCGGUGAAAUCCCGCAACCGACGGUCAUAGUCCGGAUGAGAGAAGAA
RNAcentral lists this non-coding RNA (123 nucleotides) under bovine gut metagenome. RNAcentral's name for it is "FMN riboswitch (RFN element)". It matches the Rfam family "FMN riboswitch aptamer (RFN element)". Rfam says of the family: The RFN element is a highly conserved domain that is found frequently in the 5'-untranslated regions of prokaryotic mRNAs that encode for flavin mononucleotide (FMN) biosynthesis and transport proteins. This element is a metabolite-dependent riboswitch that directly binds FMN in the absence of proteins. The record is from RNAcentral.